Molecule: non-coding RNA, 848 nt
Organism: Peromyscus maniculatus bairdii (prairie deer mouse)
Lineage: Eukaryota; Metazoa; Chordata; Mammalia; Rodentia; Cricetidae
Source: the annotation of a RefSeq genome assembly
UCUGCAUAUUGUUCAUCAUAGCUGUGGAGCUGUUAUUAUGGAGAGUAGUGAGGUGAAGGUGGGUGGAGUUUCUUGUUCAGAUGAAAGAGAACAUUCAGCAACUUGGAGAGAAACUUGUGUGUGUAAGCACAAGUGUGUCUGGCCACAAGAAUUGACACCAUCCCUCAGAGGUGGAGAGAAGACACCACAGCAAUUGGAAAGGGGCCAUGGAGAGGAACCUGGGAGCUGUGCUGGGGAUUCUGUGGGUGCAGAUUUGCUGUGAGUUGUGCUCACCUAAGCUGCUUUAGGAAUUCUCCAGAAAUGUCAGUGGUGGAGGGGAUGAGCCAACCCAAAGCUCCUGUGCUGUCAUCCUCAUGGUGUCUCCUGGGAAAUUAGGUGUGGGUGAAGACCUCUCACUGAUUCUGGUUUGCUUUUGUUUCCCAACAGGGGUGAGAGGAUUUGAGGUGGAGCAGAGUCCUCCAGCCCUGAGUCUCCAUGAGGAAACCAGAACUGCCCUGAGAUGCAAUUUUUCUAUCACCAUGACAUAUAUGCAGUGGUUCCGACAGAAUCCCAGGGGCAGCCUCAUCAAUCUUUUUUACCUGACUCCAGGAACAAAGGAGAAUGGGAGGUUCAAGUCGACAUUCAACUCCAAGGAGCGCUACAGCACCCUGCACAUCAGAGAUGCCCAGCUGGAGGACUCAGGCACCUAUCUCUGUGCUGCUGAUGCACAGUGCUCCCAGCAAGCCUGCAGGCUGGCCCCAAACUGCAACUGUGUAUUCAGCUACAGCCCUGCCACAGGCAGACUCUGCAGGAGGCUUUGCACAGCUGUGUCUUUAUCAGAUCUCCACCAAUGACAGAGAAGUUGUGAG